Molecule: long non-coding RNA, 361 nt
Filed under: Ficedula albicollis (Collared flycatcher)
Lineage: Eukaryota; Metazoa; Chordata; Aves; Passeriformes; Muscicapidae
Description: lncRNA (ENSFALG00000024708.1)
Source: RNAcentral
CGAGGGGCGGUCGCUGUCGCCCAGGCCGGAGGGGGGAGCCUGGAGGAGGCCAGGUGCGACACAGCCCCGCCGCACCCACCGGCCGCCACGGCUUAUAAACACCGGGGGCGACGGGACCGGACGGGACGGAGGCGGCGGGAGGGACCGCGCCGGGCUGGAGCCUCCGCGCCGGGCGGGAGCGGCCCAGGAUUUUAUCUCAUACAGAUGUGAAGCUCCUGAACCAGAAACUCCUAUUUCCAAGGGCACCCAAGGAGAUGAGGUUUUUAGGCUGUCACAGGAACAGACACUCCUAACACGUGAAAGCUGGGAUCUGGGACACCCACGAGGGCUGCUUGGCUGAGGACAAGAAGAUCAGGACCCU